Stegostoma tigrinum is the source of this 3104-nucleotide long non-coding RNA. RefSeq lists it as uncharacterized. The record is from RefSeq and is a predicted model, not a curated record. The transcript is spliced from 5 exons. NCBI's taxonomy places the organism in Eukaryota, Metazoa, Chordata, Chondrichthyes, Orectolobiformes, Stegostomatidae.
CUCAAAGCAUUUCAUAUUUAUAAAUAUGGAUGUCAGAGCCACUGGGCAGUAGUCAUUGAGGCUUUUGAAAAAAAUUGCUGACAUUCAGUGCGGGGAUCUUAAAGCAUUAGCACGAACAUCAGAAAAUUGGAGAAGCCUCGAGCAUAUGAGCACAGGUAGCUGAGGGUAGGGAGGGCGUGAAUUACAGAAAUCAAAGAGGGCAAGAUACAGAGAGAGAGAGACAGAGAUCAUAGUGAACAAAUGAUUGGCCUGGUAGGCAGUGGAAAAUAAAUGAUUUUACAUGAAAGAUGCAGAUAUCUUCGAAAAACAGGACAUUGAGUUUUGGAAAUUAGUGUUAUAGUUGAUUUGGAGUGAACCAAGUUACUGUUCAGUUUGGUUGUGGCUUUUGAUGAAGGGAUGGUCCAACUGAGAUUGAAAUUGGAGGAAGAUUUCAGGAUUUUUUCAUGUUCUUGUCUUUCUGUUAUGCCCCGAGGUAAAAAGCAUUGGAGAUGCUGUUAAUUUUUUGCACGGCGAGCUGCAGAAUAUUAACCAGUCUCACACCAUUGCCAUCACCUUGCCCUUGCAGAUGCGGAUAAAGUUCUCCAAGCUGACAGAAAUUGAAAGCACUCGCAUCCUGUGACGAUGGGGUAGGAGUGGAAGAAUCAGAGUGUUUCUUUGAAAAUUGGCUUGAUGUGUCUGUCCAAGGGUCAUCUGGAGGAAAAAAUACAAGUAUAUCUUCAAACAAGUAGCUGAACCCACAGAUUUAUGUGACCAACGAAGCCUGAGCCUUUUGCUUCACGAUGCAGUCCAGAUCCCUCGGCAGCUGGGUGAGGUAGCUUCAUUUGGAGGCAGCACCAUUGAACCAAGUGUCCGCAGUUGCUCCCAACAUGCACUCAGACAUGAACUAAUGGAUAAGGAGGAGACAAUCAUAACUGCUUUGGAUUCAGCCCAUAGAAGGGCCAGAGGAGCCGCGCUGACACCUUCAUGUUUAAACAGAGGACACUUUUCUGCGUGCCACGAGAUGUAUAUCAGCCAUACCAAAAUGCUGCCUUUGCCUGAGACAGGGAAGAUCAACUGACUUUGGGGAAAUGGAGAAUCAUUCAUGAAUCCAGUUACUUUCUGAUCUGACAGCUUUGUGGCAUCUGAAUGGAUAACAAUUUGAUCUGGUAAUCUCAAUUGAUAGAGUGCAAAUGUGUAGUGAUGCAUUUUGGGAGCUCUGGUAAGUGAAAGAUGUUCACAAUGACUAGUAGAUCCCUAGAGAGCACUGAGAAACAAAGGGACCUUGAUGUCCAAAAGCAAGAGUUCAUGCCCUCUGCUUCUGGCCUUUCAGGCAAAGUUGGAUCCAACACUCCACUGAGUCUUAGAUCCCAUGAGCUCUUGUUUUGUUGACCAGUCUGCUAUCACUGACCUUAUCAAAAACAUAUAGACCACAUCAGAUGAAUUUCCCUCUUCAACACUUCUGAUAUCUCCUCAAUAAAAAUUAGAUAAAAUUUGCAAACCAUGGCAUUACCUCAACAAAGCCAUGCUGACUAUCCCCGAACAUUCCAUGUUUCUCCAAGUGCAGCGACAUUUUGUCCCUUAAAAUUCUUUCUGAUAACUUCCCUACCACCAAGGUUAGACUGGCUUGUAACUUCUGGAUCUGUCCUUUCUUCUUUUAUAUAAAAGUAUGAGCGGUCCUCUGGCACCUUAGCUGUGGCCAGAAAUGACUUGAAAAAUCUUUGCCAGGACCUUUUGAUAUCUCCUCCCCUGCUUCAUAAAGUCAUGCAGUAUAGAAACAGGCUCACUUGAUCAACAUCAAUGCCAACUAACAAACAUCAAACUACUGAUCCCAUUUACCUGCACUGAGUCAUUACCUACCAUACCCUGGCCCUUUAAAUGCUCAUCUGUUGCUUCUUUAAUAUUGCAAGCGUAUCUGCCUUCUCCACUUUGUCAGGCAGCAUAUUACAUGUUUGUAUCACUUUUGGUGAAAACACUUGCCUCAGAUCCCCUCUAAAUAGCUGACAGUUUACCUGAAAUCUAUACCCCCUGACUUAAACUCGUCUACUGGUUCUCACAAUCAAUCUAUGCCUCUCAUAAUUUUGUAUACGUCGAUCAGAUUUCCCCUCAGCCUCCUCUGCUGCAUGGAAAACGCAAUUAGCCUACCAGUUUCUCCUCAUAAAACUUGCAUUCAAUCACAAAACAACACCCUGAAACAUAUACUAUCAACCAACCUGGCCAACAUCUCUGUCUCCGGCUUGCUACAGUGUUCCAGUGAAGCCCAGCACAAGCAGACAGAACAACACCUCAUUUUCUACUUGGGGACCUGACAGCCCUCCAGACUUAACAUUGAGUUCUGCAAUUUUAGGGCCUAAACUCUCCCAUAUCCCAGCGCCCCCACCCCACACACCAGGCUUUGUUACCACGCAGCCUGCCACCACACACUCCCUGUUGUUAGUGACUAACAGUCCCCAUUGACGACUUCCCAGCCUGAUCGUUAGCAACUCCUUUAUCUGUCCACCUGUCUUUCUCUCUCUUUGGGCUCUAUCCUAUUGUUUACUCCCUCCCCCACCCUCCUCCCUGUUUUCGGCAUAGAAACUGAUGUUUUCCCAGCCACCAUCAGUUCUGAGGAAGGGUCACUGGACUGGAAAUGUAAACUCUGUUUUUUCCUCCAACAUAUGUUGCCACACCUGCUGAGCUUUUCCAGCAACUUUGUUUUUGCUCGUCAUUUACAGCAUCCGCAGUUCUUGUGGUUUUUAUCACUAAACCUGUCAGACUCAUCAAUGCUCUCUAAUGCUCCAACUUGUUGCUCAAAUUGCUCCAAUAAGAGGUACCUGCUGUACACAUGGUCAUGCAGACCAGCAGGAGCACUCAGCAUUUGACAUGUAGCGUAGGAUGCACCAAUCAUGGGUCAGAUCUUAAUUCCAGGCAUACCUUAACUCAACAGAACACGGAUCUUUGCUUUUAAUUUACUCAUUCUCCUGCUUAAUUGUAGGGGACAAAAACCGGUGUUCACUCUCAGGUCUCUGCUGGUAUGCCUGCUUUUCAGGGAGAGCCUUAUCUCACCCACUCCUCUCAAUAACAUUCUCUGACUGUCACUGGGCCAACCCUCUGCUCUCAGUAACACUGUCUGCCCGUCACAGGGCCCU